Molecule: ribosomal RNA, 485 nt
Filed under: uncultured bacterium
Lineage: Bacteria
Description: bacterial SSU rRNA
Rfam family: Bacterial small subunit ribosomal RNA
Source: RNAcentral
AUUGAACGCUGGCGGCAUGCCUUACACAUGCAAGUCGAACGGGCAGCACGGGAGCAAUCCUGGUGGCGAGUGGCGAACGGGUGAGUAAUAUAUCGGAACGUGCCCGGUCGUGGGGGAUAACGUAGCGAAAGCUACGCUAAUACCGCAUACGAUCUACGGAUGAAAGCGGGGGAUCGCAAGACCUCGCGCGAUUGGAGCGGCCGAUAUCAGAUUAGGUAGUUGGUGAGGUAAAGGCUCACCAAGCCGACGAUCUGUAGCUGGUCUGAGAGGACGACCAGCCACACUGGGACUGAGACACGGCCCAGACUCCUACGGGAGGCAGCAGUGGGGAAUUUUGGACAAUGGGCGCAAGCCUGAUCCAGCAAUGCCGCGUGCAGGAUGAAGGCCUUCGGGUUGUAAACUGCUUUUGUACGGAACGAAACGGUGAGCUCUAAUACAGUUUGCUAAUGACGGUACCGUAAGAAUAAGCACCGGCUAACUACGUG